RNAcentral lists this microRNA precursor (90 nucleotides) under Nicotiana sylvestris (wood tobacco). RNAcentral's name for it is "MIR6152 microRNA precursor family". It matches the Rfam family "MIR6152 microRNA precursor family". The record is from Rfam by way of RNAcentral. Lineage: Eukaryota; Viridiplantae; Streptophyta; Magnoliopsida; Solanales; Solanaceae.
UAGAUAGAUUAUUGUAUUCGACUGUAUUCAUAACGUAAAACAGGGGAUUACACUGUUUUUAAAUGAAAAGUGAAUCAAUUAACNACUCCU